This 465-nucleotide ribosomal RNA is filed under the name Vreelandella stevensii. RNAcentral describes it as "partial 16S ribosomal RNA". It matches the Rfam family "Bacterial small subunit ribosomal RNA", at positions 338 to 795 of the family's 1533-position model. The record is from RNAcentral. Lineage: Bacteria; Pseudomonadati; Pseudomonadota; Gammaproteobacteria; Oceanospirillales; Halomonadaceae.
UCUACGGGAGGCUGCAGUGGGGAAUAUUGGACAAUGGGCGAAAGCCUGAUCCAGCCAUGCCGCGUGUGUGAAGAAGGCCUUCGGGUUGUAAAGCACUUUCAGUGGGGAAGAAAGCCUUGGGGCUAAUACCCUCGAGGAAGGACAUCACCCACAGAAGAAGCACCGGCUAACUCCGUGCCAGCAGCCGCGGUAAUACGGAGGGUGCGAGCGUUAAUCGGAAUUACUGGGCGUAAAGCGCGCGUAGGCGGUCUGAUAAGCCGGUUGUGAAAGCCCCGGGCUCAACCUGGGAACGGCAUCCGGAACUGUCAGGCUAGAGUGCAGGAGAGGAAGGUAGAAUUCCCGGUGUAGCGGUGAAAUGCGUAGAGAGCGGGAGGAAUACCAGUGGCGAAGGCGGCCUUCUGGACUGACACUGACGCUGAGGUGCGAAAGCGUGGGUAGCAAACAGGAUUAGAUACCCUGGUAGUC